UGGCUCAGUUGGUAGAGCAUGGUAUUUGCAAUGCCAGGGUUGUGGGUUCAAUUCCCAC
This 58-nucleotide transfer RNA is filed under the name Salmo salar (Atlantic salmon). It matches the Rfam family "tRNA", at positions 8 to 63 of the family's 71-position model. Rfam says of the family: Transfer RNA (tRNA) molecules are approximately 80 nucleotides in length. Their secondary structure includes four short double-helical elements and three loops (D, anti-codon, and T loops). Further hydrogen bonds mediate the characteristic L-shaped molecular structure. tRNAs have two regions of fundamental functional importance: the anti-codon, which is responsible for specific mRNA codon recognition, and the 3' end, to which the tRNAs corresponding amino acid is attached (by aminoacyl-tRNA synthetases). tRNAs cope with the degeneracy of the genetic code in two manners: having more than one tRNA (with a specific anti-codon) for a particular amino acid; and 'wobble' base-pairing, i.e. permitting non-standard base-pairing at the 3rd anti-codon position. The record is from Rfam by way of RNAcentral. Lineage: Eukaryota; Metazoa; Chordata; Actinopteri; Salmoniformes; Salmonidae.